Molecule: long non-coding RNA, 1003 nt
Organism: Xenia sp. Carnegie-2017
Lineage: Eukaryota; Metazoa; Cnidaria; Anthozoa; Malacalcyonacea; Xeniidae
Exons: 2
Source: RefSeq, a predicted model, not a curated record
UAGCUUUUCCCUCGGUAUUUUGCCGUAUAGCUUUUUCCCUCGGUGUUUUGCCGUAUAGCUUUUUCCCUCGGUAUUUUGCCGUAUAGCUUUUUCCCUCGGUAUUUUGCCGUAUAGUUUUUUCCCUCGAUGUUUUGCCGUAUAUAUAUUUUUCCCUCUAUAGGUAUUAUGUAUUCCAGGUCGAAAAUCACGCAAAUAUUUGUGUUUUUAACAAUCUUAUAAAAAUUUGCACAAAAGCUGCUUUUUUAUCGGCCUCAAAAUCGUCCCGAAGGUUUGCUGUUUUUAUAUCACCUAAACUCUUCGAUAUUUCAGGUAUUUUUCGUCCGUACGUAUUUAGAAGCUUAUAAUGAAACGAAUGAAAUCACGUUAGACGAGAUUGAAAAAGUUAUUGACGAAGCUGACAGGUGCUGUGCAAACAUUCUCUUGGGCGGGAACAAUAUUACUGCAUGACAAACCAGAUAAUAUAUAAGAUAGUCGCAUGACAUACAUGAUAAAUCCAAGAUGGCGUGAGAACGAGGCAAAAAACAUCAAAAUUUUUUGCAAUUUACUUUCACCACAAACGUCAAAGAAAUGAGAGAGAAGACGUCACAGUAGAACUAUAUCAAUAAAUCUGCCUUCAUUUGGAAAAAUAAUAGAAAUUUGUUUUUUCACCAACGAUUUGGGCGCUGUGCUGUUACGCCGUUUGCUUUUUCUUGAUACAUCGCAGCGGUCAGAGUUUUUUGCGAGACAAGUUGCAUCAAGUCUUACACAAAGUAUACGGCAAUUUGCUUUUUGUCGGUCAAUUUCACUAUUAAUAAUGUUUAUCACAAAAAAGUCUUCUUUUAUAAAUACUCAAGACAGAGGUAAGGAAAUGUACUUUCUCAUAACCUAAAUAUUAAAUAGUUAAUACCAUUGCUGGAUCAUUCCAGUUACUACUGCUUGAUGUAACUAAACCUGCAAGAUAUUACACAAAUUGUCAGAUUUCUUAACGAGCUUCGUUGACUUAAAUAAAUUACUAUGAAUGAAA